GCACCGGUGGUGUAGUUGGUCAUCACGUCAGUCUAACAUCAAACAGCACCAACUCCUUGUUCUAAAUAAGGCGUUGACUGUGGUGUUGUGCACUGAAGGUCCUGAGUUCAAGUCUCGGCCGGUGUA
Non-coding RNA from Phyllosticta citrichinensis, 126 nucleotides. NCBI's taxonomy places the organism in Eukaryota, Fungi, Ascomycota, Dothideomycetes, Botryosphaeriales, Phyllostictaceae. The record is from the annotation of a GenBank genome assembly.